AUACGUAGGGGGCAAGCGUUAUCCGGAUUUACUGGGUGUAAAGGGAGCGUAGACGGAAGGCCAAGUCUGAUGUGAAAGCCCGCGGCUCAACUGCGGGACUGCAUUGGAAACUGGUCAUCUGGAGUGCAGGAGGGGUAAGCGGAAUUCCUAGUGUAGCGAUGAAAUGCGUAGAUAUUAGGAGGAACACCGGUGGCGAAGGCGGCUUACUGGAAUGUAACUAACGUUGAGGCUCGAAAGCGUGGGGAGCAAACAGGAUUAGAUACCCUGGUAGUCCACGCCGUAAACGAUGGGCGCUCGUCGUCGGCGGCAGACAGUCGGCGGCCAAGCGAAAGCGAUAAGCGCCCCACCUGGGGAGUACGGUCGCAAGGCUGAAACUCAAAUGAAUUGACGGGG
Molecule: ribosomal RNA, 393 nt
Filed under: uncultured bacterium
Lineage: Bacteria
Description: partial 16S ribosomal RNA
Rfam family: Bacterial small subunit ribosomal RNA
Source: RNAcentral